Molecule: long non-coding RNA, 505 nt
Filed under: Nicotiana tabacum (common tobacco)
Lineage: Eukaryota; Viridiplantae; Streptophyta; Magnoliopsida; Solanales; Solanaceae
Description: long non-coding RNA (NTAB_LNC007290)
Source: RNAcentral
UCAUUCAGCCAGCAUUAGGGUUUUAAACCCUAAACUGAACUUUUUCAUUCAGUCAGCAUUAGGGUUUUAAACCCUAAACUGAACUUUUCUUGUAGUCAAUAUUAGGGUUUUAAACCCUAAACUGAACUUUUUCCAUUCAGUUAGCGUUAGUGUUUUUAAACCCUAAACUAAACUUUUCCUUUAUUCAGCAUUAGGGUUUUAAACCCUAAACUAAACUCCUUUCCAUUCAGUCAACAUUAGGGUUUUAAACCUUAAACAUAACUCUUUUCCUUUAGUCAGCAUUAGGGUUUUAAACCCUAAACUGAACUUUUUCCCUUCAAUCAGAAUUAGGGUUUUUAAACCCUAAACUGAACUUUUUCCAUUAGUCAGCAUUAGGGUUUUAAACCCUAAACUUAACUUUUUCCUGUAGUCAGAGUCAGCAUUAGGGUUUUAAACCCUAAACUGAACUCUUUUUCAUCUAGUCAGCAUUAGGGUUUUAAACCCUAAACUGAACUCUUUUCCAUUA